Long non-coding RNA from Cyprinus carpio carpio, 1373 nucleotides. NCBI's taxonomy places the organism in Eukaryota, Metazoa, Chordata, Actinopteri, Cypriniformes, Cyprinidae. The record is from Ensembl.
UGAAGGCAAUUAAACACUAAAUAUUACUUACAAGCUAAAUGAUAUAUGAAUAUAUUACUCACAAAUACAAAUUAAAUAGUUUUCUUUUCAGAUAGUAGCCAAGUAAAGGCUUCUAAAAAUAGCCUACUACAGAUAUUUUUAUGAAGUAAUUAAUGUAAAAAUAAUCUUCACUCUAUACAUUAAAUAUAGAUGAUUCUUAUUUAAGUUAAUAAGUGAUUCAGUCAAGAGCAGUUUUCCUUUCUUUUGUUUUUGGGGGCAAUGACAACAAUACUCCACUACAACAGCAGCUCCCUCUCGACCGACGAAAACCUAGAGCUGCAAAAGUGAAAACGCAGAAUAAGACCCCUUUUAAAUACACUGAGGUGUUAAAGUAAUGUGAUGAUCAUGUUUACACUUUACUCACAACGCAAUCCUCAAGUAUGGCAGUCUUUUUUGUUCUGUUGGUUUUUUCAACUUCUGCUCUAUUGAAGCGCUUGGAGCAAUUGUUAUGAUGUUCCCGUAGUUUGACCAAUCUUGACUGAAACCUCUCCUGCUGACAUAUAAGGACAUAUUUAAAUUACAACAAGUAUGAGAUCUAACAAAAACACUACAGAAGUGAACAAAAAGUAAACAUAAAAAUAUAUAAAAAUCAUUAAAAGCACUUCCAGAAUAUAAGAGAAAUUAAUGCUUAAUCGAAUUGUUCAAAAUAAUUUCUUAAACCAAAUGUUUUAAAACUUGUCGAAUAACAUUUGGUUGACUAAGGACAAUAUCUAAAUGAUUUUCAAAGAGAGGUAAUUAUAGAGAGCAUACAAAGUAUACAACAAUACCUGUCUUUUUCUUGAUGAACGCUGCCUCACAGGUGAGGAUGAGGAUGAUGUAGCAGUCACAGGGGCAGGUGAUGAACUUUUCCUCACAGGUGAGGAUGAGGAUGAGGAUGAUGUAGCAGUAACAGGGGCAGGUGAUGAACGUUUCCUCACAGGUGAGGAUGAGGAUGAUGUAGCAGUCACAGGGGCAGGUGAUGAACUUUUCCUCACAGGUGAGGAUGAGGAUGAUGUAGCAGUCACAGGGGCAGGUGAUGAACGUUUCCUCACAGUUGAGGAUGAGGAUGAUGUAGCAGUCACAGGGGCAGGUGAUGAACUUUUCCUCACAGAUGAGGAUGAGGAUGAUGUAGCAGUAACAGGGGCAGGUGAUGAACUUUUCCUCACAGGUGAGGAUGAGGAUGAGGAUGAUGUAGCAGUCACAGGAGCAGGUGAUGAACGCUGCACAGAAGACCAAAGACACAAAAAAAAUACCACAGAUGUAAACAAAAAGUAAAUAUAAAUGCUUGCUUAAUUCAAAGUGCAUUGAUUUAGUUUAAGGGCAAGACAAAUGCAUUUGGAACAAAUAAUGUUUAA